This is a long non-coding RNA of Vespula vulgaris, 7138 nucleotides long. RefSeq lists it as uncharacterized. The record is from RefSeq and is a predicted model, not a curated record. NCBI's taxonomy places the organism in Eukaryota, Metazoa, Arthropoda, Insecta, Hymenoptera, Vespidae. The transcript has 3 exons.
CGAGUAUGAAAGGGAGCUCCAUGUUGUGUGCGGCUUCAUAAAUACGGAAAAGUUUAAUUGAAAGAUUAACGAUUCUAUUAAAAAAAAAAAAAAAAAAAAUCUAUUAUUCUAUAGAUAAAUAUAUGUUAAUCUAUAAUUAUUAAAUACCGAUUAAUAAUAUAUAUAAUUAUUAUUAAAUAUAAUUAUUAUAAUUAUUAAAUAGUAAAUUAAAUUAAUUACAAUUAUAGAAAUCCAUUAAUCUAUAGAUUGUAAUAAAAUAAAAUGAAACUUAAUCAAAGUAUCCGUAAAACGACUCGUUACUGAAGGUAAUUUAAGAACAUUAUCAUCAUGAGGAGGAAGAAGAAGAAGAAGAAACUGCUCCUGCGGGAUCAGACUAUUGAUUAUAGUCUGACUGUCUAGUGGAUCGACUAGUGUCAAGACUCUUCGCCAGUGUGUCGUGCGAUAUACUGUAUGUGUUUUAUGUACUGUGUAAUUAUACACUGUGGCUAGAUACUGUAAUUAUAUACUGUAACUGUGACGAAAAUGCUACUAGCAACAGUGACAAAAAACUGAUGUCGUUAAGAAACAGUUUUGAACAGUUUGAAAAACAGUCCGAAAAACAGUUGUAUGCAUAACAAAUGUGUGCAUAAAAAAUAUGUGCAUGAAAAAUGAAAACUUUAGUGGGAUGAACUUCUAUUUGCAUAUCGUUAAUAAAAUUAAACGAUGCCGAAGUCUUCCUCAAGAGAGAACGAAAUUAUCAUCAUGAGAAGAAAGAAGAAGAUACUGUUCCUGCCGAUUCAAGCUAUUGGUUCCACCAUCUAAUGGAUCGAGGCAGUGUCAAGAUUCUUCGCAUGUGUUUUCGUCAAGUGUUUCGAUACCGUAGUUGUGAUCAGACUUUAUAAUAUUAGCGACGCGGCUUUAUAAUAUAACGAACAGUUUUGAACGUUUUCGAAAAAAUGUCGGAUGUGCCGUGUGAUUAAUAAGGAAAAGUAUAAUUGAACUUUUAUUCGCAAAUCGUAAAUAAAAUUAAACGAUACCGAUACCUCAAACGGCGCAUCAUGAACAAUAAUGUGAGAACGAGAUCAUCAUGAGAAGAAAGAUGACGCAACCGUCGCUGCCGAUUCGACUAUUGAUUACAACGUCUAAUGUGAGUAAUUCGAAACAUUCUAGUAAUUUAUAAAUUGCUAGAAAUAAAAUAAGAAGAAUGUUUUCCCCUCAACUUAAUAUUUAACGAACGUAUAGAAUUACACGAAAUAACUUUAGUAUCACAUCAUUUAAAAAUUAGAUUAUGUUAUUUAUAAUUAGAUUAUAUCCGAUAAAGCGCUAUAAUAAUGAUAAUAAUAAAUACGCUUCACUCAGACUUUUAAGAAAUGUUCUCAAAUCUCUAUGCUCAAGUAAAAAAUCUAAAGCCGAUUAGAGAAAAUGAAGUAUUAAGUCUAUUUCUCAUUUUUCAUAAAAAUUUUCAAGUCAAUGAAAUAAUCCAUGAAUUUUAUAUUUAUCAAUUCUAAAACAUUUAAAUAUCCUUCAUUUUAAAACGUUGUAAACAUUUAAUAAAAGGAGCUUACAUAAAACAUCGAUACUACACAGAAACAGACACAGCACAGAUACAGACAUUACACAAAUUAUACGCAUUAAAAGAACAUUUCUCGACUGCGAAACAUCGUACUGAGAUAAAUCGGAUAUAAGUAAUAUUAAGAAAGAAAUGUAUAUAAACCUAUCUGUAGACAAUCUUUUCAUUUAAAAAGAAUUUCUUUUGCUUUUCCCCUUUUUUUUUAAUUUCAAUCAAUCUCUUCUUAAUUUUUCUGUAAUUUAAAUUUUUUUAAUGUUUACAUAAAUGUAAUGUGUAAUAUGUAAUAUACAUAUAGAAGUAUUAUACUUAUAAAUUAAUAAUUAAACGCAAACAUAUAUACAUAUAUAUAUAUAUAUAUAUAAAUACAUCAAUCUACUCAACCAAGAUAUAUUCUACGAUUUAAUAUAUAAAUUAAUAUAUCAGACGUUUUCGAACAAAUCAUUUUUCUGAAUUUUUACGUAUAAUUCAAUGUGUUAAUGAUAAAUUAAUGAAUUAAUUAAUAAUCUUAAUAAAUUAAUUUAUAAUUUAUAGAGAAUAAAAUUACUAUUUAAUAGAAAUUUUUGAUUGUAUACUAUUCUGUAAGCAAAAAUUGCAAAAAAUCCUGUAUUAUAAUAGAAAAAUGUUGUGACACUCCAUACAGAGUAUCUCAAAUACUUCUACAACAUUUCUAAAACAUUCCGGGACUUAUACUCAAAUUUAAACGCAUCCAAAGAUUCUAGAUCAAAUUUAAAUUCGGAUUAUAUGGAGGUCGUUUAAGCCUGCUAACAGUAUUUUGAUUUAAACGAUUUUGCGCGACACGAGACGAGGCUUAGGAUCACUACCACAUUGAAAUAUCCAACUACUGUCCAUAACAAACUUUGCGAAGAGCAUCAUGUCGGUUUUUAAUACUUCGAUGUAUUAUUAUUCUUCCAUAAUAUUUUUAAUUUGCGCCAUGAACGGCUCAAGAUCUUGACCAAAAAUGGAAGCUUGGAUCAAGAUAUUCUUACUUUUGUAUUUUGUUGUUAGGAUCUAACAAAGAAUGUCCCGUCUCUUACUUUUGUGUAGCUAAUACCCAACAAAUUACGUCGCGAUCAAAUAAUCUGAAUUAGACGACACCAUUAAAUAGCACAUUGAAUUAACAAUCAAUUGACCUAUGAGGGACUUCCUAAAGCAAUUUUAAAUCAAUUUUUUUUUGUAAAGGUUUAUGCCGCAUAAUCCGAAAUUUUUAAUUUUUUAUUCAAUAAAAGCCGCCGUAAAAAUAAAUUUUCAAAUUGUCCAGUGUGUAAUUAAACGCUUGAAAAAUUCCAGAAAAUUCCACGUAAAAUUUAAAAAGAAAAAAAAAAAACGGAACAGUGGGCACCGUGGCGUAAAAAGAAGAAUUAUUAUUAUUCGGCAGAAGAAUUAUUCUUUCCGCCGAAGUACCAGACAAACGUAAUCAGACAAAUGUUCAUGUUUUUAUAUUUUUGUGUACCUUAAAUAAAAAGAAUCAUAUUCAAGAAAAUCUUAAAUAUAUUUUGAAUAUAUGAGUAAAAGAAUGGAAAGACCAUAACGGCAUUAAACGAUAGGCCAACAUUACCUGUUAUUUGAAAAUUACGAAAUAAUUUGCGUAUAAUAUUAGAACGCAAUUUCUAGCCCGAUGCCACUUAAAUGAGUCAUCAAAGUUCUUACGACGGAAAAAACAUCUAUCACACAAGAUAAAAAAUACAAUGUUUGUUGUUUACUUAAUCGCAAAAGUAUGCAAUUUUGAAAGUUUGAAGGAAAAAUGAUGAUUUAUAGAAAAUAUAUAUGAACUUUGUUUAACAUCUUUCGGAUUAUAUGGAGAACGUGACGUUAGAACGGCACUAAUUACAAAAAAAAUUGAUUGACUCGAUUCGUAUUUGCUCUAAGAAAUCCAACAUUGGUUAAUUGAUUAUUAAUACAAUGUGCUUUUUAAUGAUGUCCGCUAAUUCAGAUUAUUCGGCCACGAUGUAAUUUGAUGCGUACGAGCAACACAAAAGUAAAAGACUGGACAUUCUUUGUUAAAUCUUAACAACAAAAUACAAGAGUAAGAAUAUCUUGAUCCUAGCAUCCAUUCUUGGUCAAGAUGUUGAGCCGUUCAUGGCGCAAAUUAAAAAUAUUAUGGAAGAAUUAUUAAUACAUCGAAGUAUUAAAAACCGACAUGAUGCUCUUCGCAAAGUUUGUUAUGGACAGUAGUUGGAUAUUUCAAUGUGGUAGUGAUCCUAAGCCUCGUCUCGUGUCGCGCAAAAUCGUUUAAAUCAAAAUACUGUUAGCAGGCUUAAACGACCUCCAUAUAAUCCGAAUUUAAAUUUGAUCUAGAAUCUUUGGUAGCAUUUAAACUUGAGUAUUAAUGACGGAAAGUUUUAGAAAUAUUGCAGAAAUAUUUAAGAUACUCUAUGCAGAGCGACACAACAUUUCGCAGAUUAUUACACAAAACCUUUUGAAAUUUAUGCUUAAAAAAUUGCAUACCUUUACAUAUUACAUCAAAUAUUCAAAAGUAAUUUAUUAUAUAUUAAAGAUAUAUUAUAUAUAUAUAUAUAUAUAUAUAUUAUAAUUAUUUAUUAAACAUUUAACUAAUAACAUUAAUUUAAGAACGGAGAAUUAUAUAUAUAUAUAUUAUAUAAAAUACAUAAAAAAAUAUAUGAACAUUUAAUAAUAUGAAAGAUAUUGUCAGUACGAACAUGUCUGGAUCUUCUUGAUUUUCUACUGACUCAUGCCGAACUCAUGAAAACGAUAUUCUAUGCAAAGGAUAUUUUACUAAAUAGUAAUGUAUUGUAUCGUUUAGCCGAUAAAUUAUAUCAAUAUACGUUUUUUUUUUAUAAUUUUUGUAACAUUUAAGUUUUUUGUGAAGGUUUUGCCAAUUAUAUUUUUACUUCUUUCGAAAUAUAUAUCAUGUUAAAUGUCAUGUAAUCUACUCAUAUAAAUAAUUUGUCGUCUUUCCCUCUAUAAAUCAAUUAUUUUAAUAUGAAUACAUUAAAUUGAUUGAAAAAAAAUUUAAGAAAAUCGUUUGUCUAAGUACAUUUUUGUCUGGUAGUGUUUAGGUGUGUGUGUGUGUGUGUGUGUGUGUAGUGGGUCUUUCGAUUUAUUAAAUAUUUAAAAAUGAUUAAAAUAUAUAUAUACACAAAGAACAUAUAUCGGGUUUUCAUCUUUUUUAAAUACUUAUAAAUUUUUAGCGUUUUGAAUAAUAAUAGAUAGCAAAAUACGUACAAGCUAAUAAAUUAAGAUAUAUAAAUAAGCAAAUUGUUAUAAAUACUAACAUGUUAUUUGAUGUCGUAUUGUUACUUGACUCUUCCUUCAUUUUCACAGCGUGUAUCACGGAACGCGUGCAAUGUAUGAAUUUCUGAAAAAUUGUCACGAAACUCUGAAAAAAUAAUGAAAAGGAUUAUAUUAGUUUAGGUAUAUGUAGGAAAAAAUAUUAUAUAAAAAUAAAAAUAUUAAGUUAAUUGUAAAGAAAAUGGAAGGACUAGCUAAAAUAUUUCUCGUACUUAUCUAAUCAUACUUAUCUCAUCCUAAUUAUCUAACAUUUUGAAUUAAAUUUCACAUUUUAUUAUAACAUUUCUACAUAACAUAUUUACUACUUAUAUUGAAACUUAUACGAAACGUUUCUUGGUAUUACUCAAACAUAAAUAAUCAAAUUUGAUAAAACUGCCGCGCUUUAAAAGGCGGCUUUUCAUUGAAUAUUUUUGUAAUUAUAAUGAUAUAGAAUUUUGCAAUAAUUUUAUAUACGUAUUUGUCAGUUACAUAGUAUUCAGUACAAUAGUAUUUGUGUAUUUAUUUCAGAAUACGUGAUAUUCUUACUGCAGAAACGGACAAAUAUAUAUUUGUAAUGUUUUUGUUUAUUGUUAUUUGCAUUUGUAUUUAUCUUCAUUUAGUUGUAUGCACCUAUUAUAUUAUUUAUCUUUAUCUUUUACUACGAUCUUAAAUAUUUUUAUAAAAUAAAAAUUAACGUUGCGUAUAUAUUCUAUAGAUAGAAUAUAUAUAUAUAUAUAUAUAUAUAUUAAUAUUAGUGAUACGUAGUUUGUUAUAAAUAAUUAAACGUUAUAAUAAUAAUAAAUAUAUCUUAAUAAACUUUACUAAAACUUUUAAUAAAUACUGAAAUUUAUAUUUUCGUGUAAAAACAGUUAAUUAUAAUUAAUAAAAAAGAAGUAUAUAGUAGAAGAAUAUAGUAAUAUAGUAUAAUGAAACAAUUUAUAUUUGAGUUAAAACACCAAGAAACGUUUUUCUAUUAACGAAUCACUAUUAACAUUACUACAAAUCAAUUAGAAUUACUAUUAACAUUACUACAAAUUAUGUUAUGUUACACAAAUUAUAUAUGAGGAUGACAAAUUAUAUUAACUACAAAUUGAGUGAUACGUAGUUUGUUAUAAAUAAAUAAACGUUAUAACAAUAAUAAAUAUAUCUUAAUAAACUUUACUAAAACUUUUAAUAAAUACUGAAAUUUAUAUUUUCGUGUAAAAACAUUAAAACUAAUUAGAAAACAACUCGCAUUAUAAGAUUGCCAUGUAUAUUUAACCAAUAUUUUUAAGUUAAUGAGUCAUAUUAAAAAAGUCAAAUUAAAAAUAUUCAAAAAUGAAUUAUAUUAAAAAAGUCAUAUUAAAAAUAUUCAAACAUUUUUUUACAUUUUAAAGAGAACCAAAUAUUUACUACGAGUUGCGAUCAUAAAUUUAAUAAAACAUACGUAUCACAUACUACACAGACAUAUAUAUAUAUAUAUAUAUAUAUAUAUAUAUAUAUAUAUAUAUAAGAUACACGUUACAAAUAUUAUUAUAUAUAUUAUGUGAUUAUUAUUAUUAUUUUUUUUUUAAUUUAUUUUUUCAUUCUUUUAUUAUUUUAUACUAUUUCAUUUUCUUUUUUUCGUUUUACUUCUUUAUUUGGUUUGUUUUUUAUUUCACACAUCAUUUUUACCAAUGAAUUAUGUAUAUAAAUAUGUAAUGAUAAAAAUAAGGUUUUUGAUAUCAUUAUGUUAUAUUAUUGAGACCAAUUAUAUGUAUUAAAAUAAACUCUUUUAAUAAUAUAUAUAUAUAUAUUUAAAUAAAAUUAAUUAUAUAUUAAUAUAUAUAUAUAUAUUCUAUCUAUAGAAUAUAUACGCAACGUUAAUUUUUAUUUUAUGAAAAUAUUUAAGAUCGAAGUAAAAGAUAAAGAUAAAUAAUAUAAUAGGUGCAGACAACUAAAUGAAGAUAAAUACAAAUACAAAUAACAAUAAACAAAAACAUUACAAAUAUAUAUUUGUCCGUUUCUGCAGUAAGAAUAUCACGUAUUCUGAAAUAAAUAAACGAAUUACUAUAAUUCGAAUAAAUAUAUAAAUUACUAUUGUACUGAAUACUAUGUAACUGACAAAUACGUAUGUAAAAUUAUUGCAAAAUUCUAUAUCAUUAUAAAUUACACUUUCUGAAAUAUGGCUUAAAAUAAUAAUAAAAGACUAUAUAACUUUCUGUAGCGUAUUGCAUGUACCGUAAUAUAUCGUAAUAUUGUAGAGAAAAUUGCGUAAAACAGUGUAUUCCGAUGUAUGUCUAUAACACAACUUACAUAUACGUGUAUACAACUAUACAAUUAUAGCACAUUGUAUGAAAAAAGAAAAAUUUAUGAAAAUAAAUGUUUGUGUAUGCUAUUAAA